CCUCCCAAAUGACUAUAUCAACAGAUCCAGCUUUUCUUUUCAAUAUAAAAUGUAUUGAUUGUAGCCAGGUAUGGUUGUAUAUGCCUUUAGUCCUGGUACUGGAAGCAGAGGUUCAAGUGAGUUUGAAGACAGCCAUGGCUGUUACACAGAGAGGCCCUGUCUCAAAAACAGAGCAGUAUAUUUUUUUCCCUAACCAUCCAAAACAAGAAAUACCUACCCACACACAAACACAGCCCAAAACAUUAAGAUGAUGACUUGGGGGGAAGUUACUUUUUAAAAAUAUGUUAGUAUGGAGACAGAGAUUCUGAGCAGUUAGUAGUUACAUAUAUGACUGUUGGAAUUUGGUGCCAACUCUUGAGUUGCUCACAAUGGUUUAUGAUUCCAACUCCAGGGAAUCUAACCCUCUUCUGGCCUCUACAGGCACUAGUGGGAAUACCCACACACAUAAAAAAAAAUACAUGAGGGGUUGGGGAUUUAGCUCAGUGGUAGAGCGCUUGCCUAGGAAGCGCAAGGCCCUGGGUUCGGUCCCCAGCUCCGGGGGAAAAAAAAAAAG
RNAcentral lists this long non-coding RNA (553 nucleotides) under Rattus norvegicus (Norway rat). Its description in RNAcentral is "long non-coding RNA NONRATT013330". The stretch from base 469 to 537 matches the Rfam family "tRNA". The record is from RNAcentral. Lineage: Eukaryota; Metazoa; Chordata; Mammalia; Rodentia; Muridae.